UUGCCGGUAAGAGUUUCAUUUGAGGUUUCUGCCUUUUUGGAUUUCGAGAAGGUUUUAAUGUUGCGCGGUUUUUUAUAGUUGAUCUACCGGAGCUUCUGGCCGCCGCCGGAGCUGCUGCCGGGCCGGUUCGAAAUUGCAGCUGCUUCGUGUUGUUAUUCCGAGUUGUUUAUGCGGCUGCGAAAAUGUGUGGGGCUGUGCUUUGAAGCUGCCUUUGAUUUCGAGUUGAGGCGAAAAGAACUUAUGAGGCGUUUGGAUUAUGGAAUUUGCGUUUUGAGGAUAUGGGCGCAGAAGUUACGAAGAGUUUAUUUAUUUAUUGUUGAGAUGUU
Molecule: non-coding RNA, 326 nt
Organism: Arachis ipaensis
Lineage: Eukaryota; Viridiplantae; Streptophyta; Magnoliopsida; Fabales; Fabaceae
Source: RefSeq, a predicted model, not a curated record